AGUUGUUGCGGUUAAAACGUUCGUAGUCGUAUUUCUGCUUCGGAUCUUCCUUUCAAAAGUGAGAAUUCGAGCAUUGGUGUGGGCGGUUUACGUCACUUAAUUGUGCCGUUGCGUAAACCCACACUUAUUAUUUUGAGGAAAUUAGAGUGUUUAAAACGUGCAUGGGAUGAAUAUAAUAGCAUGGGACAAUGUGAAACGGGGACGAGAUUGGCGUGGAUUUUGGCUCGGCCCAUUUUCAAAAGGAGCAUUUGGGGGUAUCCGUAUUGAGCUGCUAGAGGUGAAAUUCUUGGAUUUUUUUAAGACGAACAAAUGCGAAAGCAUUUACCAAGGAUGUUUUCAUUGAUCAAGAACGAUAGUUAGGGGAUCGAAGACGAUUAGAUACCGUCCUAGUCUUAACAGUAAACUAUGCCGACUAAGGAUUUGUAAAUGUGAUUAUCACUUUAUAAGUACUUUAUGAGAAAUCAAAGUCAUCGGGUUCCGGGGGGAGUAUGGUCGCAAGUCUGAAACUUAAAGGAAUUGACGGGAGGGCACCACCAGGAGUGGAGCCUGCGGCUUAAUUUGACUCAGCACGGAGAACCUUACUAGGUCCUGA
This 592-nucleotide ribosomal RNA is filed under the name uncultured marine eukaryote. RNAcentral's name for it is "bacterial SSU rRNA". It matches the Rfam family "Eukaryotic small subunit ribosomal RNA", at positions 608 to 1228 of the family's 1831-position model. The record is from RNAcentral.